AUUGAACGCUGGCGGCAUGCCUUACACAUGCAAGUCGAACGGUAACAGGUCUUCGGAUGCUGACGAGUGGCGAACGGGUGAGUAAUACAUCGGAACGUGCCUAGUAGUGGGGGAUAACUACUCGAAAGAGUGGCUAAUACCGCAUGAGAUCUACGGAUGAAAGCAGGGGAUCGCAAGACCUUGUGCUACUAGAGCGGCCGAUGGCAGAUUAGGUAGUUGGUGGGAUAAAAGCUUACCAAGCCGACGAUCUGUAGCUGGUCUGAGAGGACGAUCAGCCACACUGAGACUGAGACACGGCCCAGACUCCUACGGGAGGCAGCAGUGGGGAAUUUUGGACAAUGGGCGCGAGCCUGAUCCAGCAAUGCCGCGUGCAGGAUGAAGGCCUUCGGGUUGUAAACUGCUUUAGUACGGAACGAAAAGCCCUGGGUUAAUACCCUGGGGUCAUGACGGUACCGUAAGAAUAAGCACCGGCUAACUACGUGCCAGCCGCCGCGGUAA
Molecule: ribosomal RNA, 498 nt
Filed under: uncultured bacterium
Lineage: Bacteria
Description: partial 16S ribosomal RNA
Rfam family: Bacterial small subunit ribosomal RNA
Source: RNAcentral